RNAcentral lists this ribosomal RNA (463 nucleotides) under uncultured Thermotogales bacterium. RNAcentral describes it as "bacterial SSU rRNA". It matches the Rfam family "Bacterial small subunit ribosomal RNA", at positions 325 to 778 of the family's 1533-position model. Lineage: Bacteria; Thermotogati; Thermotogota; Thermotogae; Thermotogales. The record is from RNAcentral.
UACGGGUCCUACUCCUACGGGAGGCAGCAGUGCGGAAUUUUAGAUAAUGGAGGCAACUCUGAUCUAGCGACGCCGCGUGCAGGAAGAAGGUCUUCGGAUUGUAAACUGCUGUGGUAAGGGAAAAAUGUCAUGUAGAGUGGAAAGCUACAUGGAGGGAUGGUACUUUACUAGAAAGCCCCGGCUAACUACGUGCCAGCAGCCGCGGUAAUACGUAGGGGGCGAGCGUUACCCGGAAUCAYUGGGCGUAAAGGGAGCGUAGGUGGCCUGACAUGUCGACUGUGAAAACCCGGAGCUCAACUCCGGACUUGCAGUUGAAACUGCCAGGCUUGAGGACGGUAGAGGAAGACGGAACYGCCAGUGUAGGGGUAAAAUCCUUAGAUAUUGGCAGGAACGCCGGUGACGAAGGUGGUUUUCUGGGCCGGUUCUGACACUGAUGCUCGAAAGCCAGGGGAGCGAACGGGAU